AGGUCCCUGGCAAAUGCCAGACAAGAACUGACACAGAAUUUCUUGGGACCCUGGCAGAGAGAAAGAGAGAAGCAGCAAACGGUGUUGGGAGCGUUUCUAUUGAAAAUGGAGUUGCUGAGAUAAGUUUUAACAGUAAGAAAGCAGCAAGUUCUCUAGGGUAUGACAGUCUGUGAGCACUAAAUGGGUCCUAUUUCUAUAUUGUGGCAUCAGUGGUGGAGUCUAUGGAAUGCUGCCGUGCAACCCACCUGGGUGCUUGGCACAUCCUAGGUUUUUUCCCCUCUCUUGUCACAUCAGAACCCCCUGGCAUCCUCAGGUCCAGAGGAACUUUGAGAAAAAGGAUUCCCAGUGAGACAAGCAAGCAGCUGGUGGGGAAGAGAGAAGAGGCCGCAGGCUGGAGAGGAGCAGGAGAAACCCCCCUGGCAUCACCAGGCCACCUGUGGGGAACAGAACGGACACUUUGGGAGUAAAAAGAGGAAAGGGACGCACAUCCCUGCCUUCAGCGCACCUCCAGUGGGACCCACCUGAAAAAGCUUUCCAUCACUUCUUCAUCAGCUUCCAGCUGGCUCCCUGAAAAACUCCAAACUUCAUCCAAAC
This is a long non-coding RNA of Hirundo rustica (Barn swallow), 594 nucleotides long. RefSeq lists it as uncharacterized. The transcript is spliced from 5 exons. Lineage: Eukaryota; Metazoa; Chordata; Aves; Passeriformes; Hirundinidae. The record is from RefSeq and is a predicted model, not a curated record.